AUGGUGCUGGCGUGGGGCGCGAUUGCGGUGACGUGUGCGUUCACGCAGGCUGUGUGGGGGUUCCAGGGUGGUGGUAGUGCCAUGCCUUCUCCGGGUCAAAAUUGGCGGCGCUUGGGUUGCUUGCAUUAUGGGGAUGGCGACGACAUGGGGCUCAUGCUCGGGUGGGCCAGCUUUGGGCUCGAGACAGUGGGGCGAAAGCUUGUUUUGAGAGGGAUGUGGGAGGGGGCGGAGCAAUCGGGCCUGGGUAUGGGGAGGAGAUGUACAAAUGGGGGAGAAACAGACCUGCGUCACCGCCUCCUUCCUGGUCACUGGGGGCUCAAAGGGGCGGCCGGGACAUUGAUUGCAUUGAACAAUGGGUGUGGCCAUGAAGACUUCACUGCAUCAAACAUCUCCUGA
RNAcentral lists this ribosomal RNA (396 nucleotides) under Triticum aestivum (bread wheat). Its description in RNAcentral is "partial small subunit ribosomal RNA". The record is from RNAcentral. Lineage: Eukaryota; Viridiplantae; Streptophyta; Magnoliopsida; Poales; Poaceae.